Molecule: ribosomal RNA, 277 nt
Filed under: Cortinarius aurantiobasis
Lineage: Eukaryota; Fungi; Basidiomycota; Agaricomycetes; Agaricales; Cortinariaceae
Description: partial 28S ribosomal RNA
Rfam family: Eukaryotic large subunit ribosomal RNA
Source: RNAcentral
GUGACCUCAAAUCAGGUAGGACUACCCGCUGAACUUAAGCAUAUCAAUAAGCGGAGGAAAAGAAACUAACAAGGAUUCCCCUAGUAACUGCGAGUGAAGCGGGAAAAGCUCAAAUUUAAAAUCUGGCAGUCUUUGGCUGUCCGAGUUGUAAUCUAGAGAAGUGUUAUCCGCGCUGGACCGUGUACAAGUCUCCUGGAAUGGAGCGUCAUAGAGGGUGAGAAGCUCCCAAGAGUCGAGUUGUUUGGGAAUGCAGCUCAAAAUGGGUGGUAAAUUCCAA